UUAUUUCUAUUCUUACAAUAAAAAUCUAGAAAUAUUGUUCAUCAAACAAAUGGCCUACACAACAAAAAGUUCUUUUGUCGUGGUGGUUUUGGUGUUGUUUAUUUGCAUGACAUGUGUUCCUCUUUUAGGUAUGACAUCAUUCCUCUAUUUCUUGGUAUUUUAGAAAAAAUUACCAUAAAUCAUCAUAUAGUUGCAACAUCUAUUUUGAAUUUACAUGUAUACAGCUCUUGGACCGGCAUGUCUUGGACAGUGUGAUGCAAUCAACAUGGACUGCUUACAACUUUGCCAAGAAUUAGCUUUUGUUACGGGUUCAUGCAAAGGAGGGCCUCCUUCUGAGUGUCGUUGUCAUGAUUAAAUCAAUAUUGUUUUAAUAACCACUUGUAAGGAAUAUAUAUUUCAUAAUCCAUCAAAUAAUUGGUUAAUAGUUAUAAACUAUUUCCUUGGAAUACCGAUGUUACGUUGGACUACAUGAUAAUCUCAUGAUGCUAUUAAAAAACAUUUUGGUUUAUUAAUGUUCCGACUUAAUUUUUUUCGUAACCCAAAUUUAUUUUCAAAACUAGUAUUACUAAUUUAUUCAUUAUUUUUGUUGAAUGUGUAAUUAAUAAACAAAUAUACGUAACACCCAAACAUUUCAUAAGAUACUAGAUAGCAGAAAUCAGUUUUAAUAACUCUCAAGAUCACUUUCUAACCUUCAAUAUUAUUUUUUAUACAUUGGAAAAAAUAAAGAUAUAAUAAAAUCCUUGAAUGGAGUAUUCCAAGAUGUUACAUCUCCGUGGAACUCCUUUGUCAACUUCAUAAUUUGAUAUUUCUCUAGUAUUUAUUUAUUUUUUUUGUUUUUCCAUUUUUUAAUUUUUGGUUGGGUAAACCUUGGGUUUAGUGAGUUCGCAGUUUCAUGCAAGUAGACGUCUACCAUACUAAAUACGAUGGUUUUAUCAUACUUUUUUAAAUUUAUGUAUUGGUAAGCCACCGUUGCCUAAGGGAUCUUCGGCUACAAUCGCCGGAAGUGAAUAUUUUUAGUUAUAGGGUGGAGCUCGGUUGAUAUAUAUUCCGAAUCUGCCACCGUUAAUUGCAAGAAAUAGCCAAGUUAUUCCUAUCGUUUUUUAUUAUAACCAUAUCUUGUCAACCUUGAGAACAUUUUUAUGUUUCAUAAGGAGUUAAUAUGUUCGGGACAUUGUUAACAAAUUGGUUUCUCAUUGCAAUUGUGGGUAAGCUUCUUUGCUCUCAUUUACCAUGAUUUAUGUUUCAUUAACCUUUCUAUGGCCACAUCAUUUGUAUUUUUCGAAUGGUGUUUAUGGUUAUGAGAUAAAAGAAGAAAUGUUGAUUUUCAAAAUUGGCCUUGCCUAUUAAGACAUUUACCAAGUGUCGGCGUAUUAUCUGCAUGGCUAGUUAGCUAUAUCUAUAUCUAUAUCUUUCUAUAUCAUUAUAUACUUAUAACGGAAGUAUUUUACCUUUCACCACAUUCAUUUGAAACUCCUAUGUAUUUUUCCUUUCACCACAUUCAUUUGAAACUGUGACAACCCAAAAGAAAUAAACAUACAUGUUGUUAGAAAUAAAUACAAUCUAUGUUAUAAAACCAUAAGAAAAUUUAUGAUUAUAAAACUACAUGGUUUUUUUGAAACUUUUACUAAAAGAUAACUUUUCUAGCUAAGGUGGUUACAUUAUAGUCACUUACUAAUUUAGUGGGUUUUAACCCGAAAAUAUUAUGAUCUGGUUUCAUAUUUUUGUACUACGCAAAAAUGCACUAUCAUAUUUAUAAAAAGAUUAUAUAAAUAGUUUCCAACAAACAAGAUAUGCAAUAAUUGGUAUAGUCUUGGAAGUUACAAACCACACAUACAUUUUAGAAGAUACAUAAAAUUGUUCAAAGAAUUACUUAUUUCGUUUUAUAAUAAAAAGGAGUCAUAGUUCACGUAAAUCAGUUAAUGGUCUUAUGAGACGUUCCUUCAUCAUACCUACCUAGCGUACACCUUAAGUCCUGCAUAAUAAUCACGGAGAGCAAGACCGUUGUGUAUAAAUCUAUAUAUACAGGAUUGACCACCCUAUAACUCAGUUGUUCGCUACAGUUACACCGCAAGUCUAGGGUGACAAAUGUCUACCAAUUCUGAGGCCUGAAGAACGUCGUUCAGGCAUAUCAGUCAUAUCAAGCAUGGUUAAAAGAACUCACAAAGGGAUUAACAUACUAUUACGAUUUACGGGAAGCUUACACUUCUUUAGUUUUUCUAAAAAUAUAUAACGACAUACUAUUGGUCAGUACAUCAAAUCUCAUACAUUUUUGGUCAUAGGGUUUAAGACUAUAAUUUUCAUACAUCAGAAAAUAUUGGAUUUUCUGGGAACAUGCAUUUUACAAUUAAAAGGAACGUAUACAAAGGAAAUACAUACAUAUACAGUUCAUACAUAAGAAAAUAUUGGAUUUUAAGGAAACAUACAUUAUCAUUUUACAAGGAAGGGAUACAAAGAAAAUACAUACAUUUUUGGUCUUUUGUAUAAGACUUACAACUUGUUUUUAAAAGAAAAUAUGUGAUUUUUUAGAAGUAUACAAAAAUCAGUUUCUCAAAAAUGUUACAAAUCCUUUUCAUACAAAAUUUUUAAGAAUUCACCAACGUAAUCAGUUACACUUUUUAAAGUCACUUGUAUUCUCAGGGAACCAAUAGACAUGUAUUCAACCGUAUUUUGGGUUCGACAUCGUUGUUUCAUGAGUAUUACUUUUCAGUUAUUUCUAUUUAAUGUCUGAACAAGAAAAGUGUUGUAAACGAUGUAGACUAGUAAUUUAAAUGUAUGAAUAUUUGGGUUGCUAUGUUUCGUUACCAUUCAAUGGUUAUGAUAUUGUACAUGACGUCAUCCGUCCCCGGACGUUUACGCCAUUCCGGUUCUGGGGUGUGACAGAUUGUUAUCAGAGCAUUGGUUGUCGAUAACUAUUAUAUCAAACCAUACAAGAUGUAAAACUAUAAAUAAAAUGGGGAUAAAACACUCUGACUAUAAAUAUACUUUUAAAAAUAUAAUAAUAUUUUAAGUAUUAGUACAUACAAGAUAGGGCAGUGUCAUAUCGAGGGGAUAAUAAAACUAGUAUGAUGAGUUAAAAACUAUGGGUAGGCCUCGGGAUAUGUCAUUAGACCUUGAAUAAAUAUAGUCUAAUCAACUAUAUUUAUCUGAGGUGUAACUAGAAUAUGUUGGGAAAUAGUAGUAGUAAAAGACAAGUCUACCCUUACCAACAUCAUGAUACCUAGAAUCAAACGCAACAUUUAAUAUACAAUAGGAUACAAUAGAACCACACACUUACACCCCUACAUAUUUCUCAUACCUCUAUUCUCGCAUAGACCACAUGUAUAAUUGAAACUUAGGCCUUGAGUUUUCCUUUAAUUUUUUCUCAUAUUGCUACUUAGCUUAAUUUUAUCCCUUCUCUACUACUAACAGAAGCAACACUACUCGAAGUUAUUUCCUUCUUAUUCGUGGUUGUUUCUUUUGCCAUUUUCAUUUGGUGUUUACGCCUUCAUAUCAUAAUAUUUUUAUAUCAAUAAUAUAUGAAAUAUGUUUGAUUAAAGAUCGUCAUCAUAAUUUCAUGUACAUUGGCUUCAACAUCUUCGUUAGCCUCAUGAUUACUGAAUAUGAAGGUUAUUAAUAUCACAAAUUAAUAAAUACGCAUGGCUUUUUCUUGUAAAUAACCCUAAAAGUUAAAUCAAAUCAAUCUACUUUUUAGUAAUUGGAUCAAAAUUCCUACUUUUAUUCUUAAAUUACUAGCCAAGUAGAUAACACACUAAAACUUAGUAAAUCAGUUAAUAGGAGAGGCCUAUUUUGAAAAUCAAUAUGUCUACUUUUAUCUAAAACUCCAAUGAUGUGGUUAUAGUAAUGUCAAAGUAUGAAGUUGACAAAGGAGUUCCAGAGUGAGGUAACAUCGAGUACCCUCAUUAAAUAAUUUUAUUAUAUCUUUAUUGUUUCCCUUAUAUAAAAAAUAACAUUGAACGUUAGAAAAUGACCUUGAGAUAUAUUAAAACUGACUUCGACUAUGUAUUAUUUUAUCAAAUUUUUGGGUGUUAUGUAUAUUUGUUUAAUAAUAACACACAUUCAAAAAUGAAACGAAUAAUUGGCUAUUUAGUGUUACUAGUUUUGAAAAUAUAAUUGGGCAACGAAAAAAACAAGUUGGACAUUACUAAACUAAAAUUUUUCGUUAAUAGCUUUAUAGGAUUAUCAUUUAGUUUAACGUAACAUCAGUAUUCCACGAAAAUAGUUUAAUACUAUUAAUUCAUUGUUUGGUGGUUUACGGAAUAUAUAUUCCUUACAAGUGGAUAUUAACAAAGUAUUAAUUUAAUUACGGCAACAACACUCAUAUGAAGGCCCUGCUAUGCAUAAACCCGUAACAAAAACUAGUUCUUGGAAAAGUUGUUAGCAGUCCAUGUUGAUUACAUCACAUGAUCCAAGUCAUGCUGGUCUAAGAGUUGUAUAGAUGUAAAUUCAAAANAUAGAUGUUGAAUUAUAUCAUGAUUUCUGGAAAAAAUUUCUCAAAUACCCAGACAUACAUGAACGAUGUCAUACCUAAAAUUGUAACAUAUAUCAUAUAAAUAAACAACAACACCAAAACCAUCACGACAAGAGAGUUUUUUCUUGUGUAGGACAUUUGUUUGAUGAAAAUUUUCUUGAUUUUAAUUUUAAGAAUAGAAUUAAAAAUGAUCGUACUUUAUUUUGGAUUACCACUCCUUAAACAGUCAUUCAAGUGAAGCAUAACACUUGUUAGCGCCAUUCAAGUUGAUCAUCCAGUUUGUUAGCACCGUUAAUUACUAACUUUAAAUUUUAUUAUUAAUGUAUGUUCAAAUGGACAUCAUUAAUUUCAAACAUAACAUAACGUCUAUAAUUUACAUGUUAAUUGAAUUUCAAUAUGAAUAUACGUUAAUAACAAAAUUUAAAGAUAUUAAUUAGUGGUGCUAAUAAACUGUUUUGCUCAACUUGAGUGAUGUUAACAAGUGUUAUGCUUCAUUUGAAUGACUAUUUAAGGAUUGGUAAUCCAACAUUAGAUAUGAUCCUUUCUUAUUUCUAUUCUUACAAUAAAAAUCUAGAAAUAUUGUUCAUCAAACAAAUGGACUACACAACAAAAAUUUCUUUUGUCGUGGUGGUUUUUUUGUUGUUUAUUUGCAUGACAUGUGUUCCUCUUUUAGGUAUGACAUCAUUCCUCUAUUUCUUGGUAUUUUAGAAAAAAUUACCAUAAAUAAUCAUAUAAUUGCAACAUCUAUUUUGAAUUUACAUGUAUACAGCUCUUGGACCGGCAUGUCUUGGACAGUGUGAUGCAAUCAACAUGGACUGCUUACAACUUUGCCAAGAAUUAGCUUUUGUUACGGGUUCAUGCAAAGGAGGGCCUCCUUCUGAGUGUUGUUGUCAUGAUUAAAUCAAUAUUGUUUUAAUAACCACUUGUAAGGAAUAUAUAUUCCAUAAUCCAUCAAAUAAUUGGUUAAUAGUUAUAAACUUGUUCCUUGG
Molecule: long non-coding RNA, 5457 nt
Filed under: Lactuca sativa (garden lettuce)
Lineage: Eukaryota; Viridiplantae; Streptophyta; Magnoliopsida; Asterales; Asteraceae
Description: long non-coding RNA (LSAT_LNC001128)
Source: RNAcentral